GAAUAGCAUAUCAAUAAGCGGAGGAAAAGAAACCAACAGGGAUUGCCCUAGUAACGGCGAGUGAAGCGGCAACAGCUCAAAUUUGAAAUCUGGCGUCUUUGGCGUCCGAGUUGUAAUUUGCAGAGGGCGCUUUGGCAUUGGCAGCGGUCCAAGUUCCUUGGAACAGGACGUCACAGAGGGUGAGAAUCCCGUACGUGGUCGCUAGCCUUUACCGUGUAAAGCCCCUUCGACGAGUCGAGUUGUUUGGGAAUGCAGCUCUAAAUGGGAGGUAAAUUUCUUCUAAAGCUAAAUACUGGCCAGAGACCGAUAGCGCACAAGUAGAGUGAUCGAAAGAUGAAAAGCACUUUGGAAAGAGAGUUAAAAAGCACGUGAAAUUGUUGAAAGGGAAGCGCUUGCAGCCAGACUUGCCUGUAGUUGCUCAUCCGGGUUUUUACCCGGUGCACUCUUCUAUGGGCAGGCCAGCAUCAGUUUGGGCGGUUGGAUAAAGGUCUCUGUCACGUACCUCCUCUCGGGGAGAACUUAUAGGGGAGACGUAAUGCAACCAGCCUGGACUGAGGUCCGCGCAUCUGCUAGGAUGCUGGCGUAAUGGCUGUAAGCGGCCCGUCUUGAAACACGGACCAAGGAGUCUAACAUCUAUGCGAGUGUUUGGGUGUCAAGCCCGAGCGCGUAAUGAAAGUGAACGGAGGUGGGAACCUUUCGGGGUGCACCAUCGACCGAUCCUGAUGUCUUCGGAUGGAUUUGAGUAAGAGCAUAGCUGUUGGGACCCGAAAGAUGGUGAACUAUGCUUGAAUAGGGUGAAGCCAGAGGAAACUCUGGUGGAGGCUCGCAGCGGUUCUGACGUGCAAAUCGAUCGUCAAAUUUGGGCAUAGGGGCGAAAGACU
RNAcentral lists this ribosomal RNA (881 nucleotides) under Boeremia strasseri. Its description in RNAcentral is "LSU rRNA". It matches the Rfam family "Eukaryotic large subunit ribosomal RNA", at positions 30 to 932 of the family's 3401-position model. The record is from RNAcentral. Lineage: Eukaryota; Fungi; Ascomycota; Dothideomycetes; Pleosporales; Didymellaceae.